ACCGCCCUAGUUCUGACCGUAAACGAUACCAACUAGCGUUCCGCCGUUGGUGAUCAUCAUCAUGGCGGGCAGCUUCCCGGAAACGAAAGUGUUUCGGUUCCGGGGGAAGUAUGGUUGCAAAGCUGAAACUUAAAGAAAUUGACGGAAGGGCACCACCAGGAGUGGAGCCUGCGGCUUAAUUUGACUCAACACGGGAAAACUCACCUGGUCCGGACACCGUGAGGAUUGACAGAUUGAAAGCUCUUUCUUGAUUCGGUGGUUGGUGGUGCAUGGCCGUUCUUAGUUGGUGGAGUGAUUUGUCUGGUUUAUUCCGAUAACGAGCGAGACUCUAGCCUACUAAAUAGUUGCUGGAUAAAGUACAAAGUCCAGAAUAGACUUCUUAGAGGGACAAGCGAUGUUCAGUCGCGCGAAGUUGAGCAAUAACAGGUCUGUGAUGCCCUUAGAUGUCCAGGGCUGCACGCGCGCUACACUGGAGGAAACAAUGUGAUUUAUCGGCCUCCGAAAGGAGCCCGGAAUCCUUGAAAAUCCUCCGUGAUUGGGAUCGGGAGUUGCAAUUAUUUCCCUUGAACGAGGAAUUCCUAGUAAGUGUGAGUCAUCAGCUCACGCUGAUUACGUCCCUGCCCUUUGUACACACCGCCCGUCGCUGCCCGGGACUGAGCCGUUUCGAGAAAAGCGAGGAUCAUUGGUUCGAAGCCCGUCAGGGUGUAGAUACUUGAUGCGAAUCGCUUUAAUCGCAGUGGCUUGAACCA
This 749-nucleotide ribosomal RNA is filed under the name Nematoda gen. sp. 1 ALS-2019. RNAcentral's name for it is "SSU rRNA". It matches the Rfam family "Eukaryotic small subunit ribosomal RNA", at positions 1014 to 1780 of the family's 1831-position model. The record is from RNAcentral. Lineage: Eukaryota; Metazoa; Nematoda.